UACGGAGGGUGCGAGCGUUGCUCGGAAUCACUGGGCGUAAAGGGCGUGUAGGCGGUUCGCUAAGUCUGAUGUGAAAGCCCGGGGCUCACCCCCGGAAGUGCAUUGGAAACUGGCGAACUCGAGUCCCGGAGAGGAGGGUGGAAUUCCUGGUGUAGCGGUGAAAUGCGUAGAUAUCGGGAGGAACACCUGAGGCGAAGGCGGGCUACUGGGCCGAUACUGACGCUGAUGCGCGAAAGCCAGGGGAGCGAACGGC
Molecule: ribosomal RNA, 253 nt
Filed under: uncultured prokaryote
Description: partial 16S ribosomal RNA
Rfam family: Bacterial small subunit ribosomal RNA
Source: RNAcentral